Molecule: non-coding RNA, 29 nt
Filed under: Rattus norvegicus (Norway rat)
Lineage: Eukaryota; Metazoa; Chordata; Mammalia; Rodentia; Muridae
Source: RNAcentral
UGGGUAUUAUGUCAUUGCUGGAGGCACAG